RNAcentral lists this ribosomal RNA (119 nucleotides) under Pteropus alecto (black flying fox). The record is from RNAcentral. Lineage: Eukaryota; Metazoa; Chordata; Mammalia; Chiroptera; Pteropodidae.
GCCUAUAGCAGUGCCACCCUGAACAAGCCCGAUCUCGUCUGAUCUCAGAAGCUAAGCAGGGUUGGGCCUGGUUAGUACUUGGAUGGGAGACCACCUAGGAAGACCAGGUGCUGUAGCAG